CCGAGCUCGCGCCCGUCUGGGCGAUCUCCCACCCACUGUUAUCACUAUCAGCGUUGCUUUGGUGGGCCGUCGGGCUCUACCCGACCGCCGGCCCUAGGCCGGCGCGUGCCCGCCAGAGGUCCUAUAAACUCUAAAAGUCAGUGUCGUCCGAGUCCUAUAUAAUAGUUA
RNAcentral lists this unclassified non-coding RNA (168 nucleotides) under uncultured Leotiomycetes. RNAcentral describes it as "sequence contains ITS1". The record is from RNAcentral. Lineage: Eukaryota; Fungi; Ascomycota; Leotiomycetes.